CGAGGCAUACAUGGUUGGGUACACUGGUAAUUUUCGGUUUCAUAUGGAGUAGGCUAGGUGGAGUUUUCAUCAUGGUUAAGUUUGCAACAACAAACUUCGGGGCUAGCAAAACGGUUUUUACUAGAGGGCUUUUGGUAGGAAACUUUGUCCAGUGUCCCUAUCCAUGCAAGGACUACACUACCACCAAGUUUCAUCUCGGGAAGAACAGAGUAGCUAGUACUUGUAGUUCAAGGCUACUUUUCUCCCAAAAUGUAGGUUUAGA
RNAcentral lists this long non-coding RNA (262 nucleotides) under Hordeum vulgare. RNAcentral's name for it is "long non-coding RNA (HVUL_LNC000963)". The record is from RNAcentral. Lineage: Eukaryota; Viridiplantae; Streptophyta; Magnoliopsida; Poales; Poaceae.